GGUUAAGCGACUAAGCGUACACGGUGGAUGCCCUGGCAGUCAGAGGCGAUGAAGGACGUGCUAAUCUGCGAAAAGCGCCGGCGAGGUGAUAUGAACCUUUGACCCGGCGAUGUCCGAAUGGGGAAACCCAGUGCAAUCCGUUGCACUAUCGUUAACUGAAUACAUAGGUUAACGAGGCGAACCGGGGGAACUGAAACAUCUAAGUACCCCGAGGAAAAGAAAUCAACCGAGAUUCCCCCAGUAGCGGCGAGCGAACGGGGAGCAGCCCGGAGUCUGAAUCAGCUUGUGUGUUAGUGGAACGGUCUGGAAAGUCCGACGGUACAGGGUGAUAGUCCCGUACACGAAAGCACACAUGCUGUGAACUCGAAGAGUAGGGCGGGACACGUGGUAUCCUGUCUGAAUAUGGGGGGACCAUCCUCCAAGGCUAAAUACUCCUGACUGACCGAUAGUGAACCAGUACCGUGAGGGAAAGGCGAAAAGAACCCCGGCGAGGGGAGUGAAAAAGAACCUGAAACCGUGUACGUACAAGCAGUGGGAGCCUCUUUAUGGGGUGACUGCGUACCUUUUGUAUAAUGGGUCAGCGACUUAUAUUCUGUAGCAAGGUUAACCGUAUAGGGGAGCCGAAGGGAAACCGAGUCUUAACUGGGCGUUAAGUUGCAGGGUAUAGACCCGAAACCCGGUGAUCUAGCCAUGGGCAGGUUGAAGGUUGGGUAACACUAACUGGAGGACCGAACCGACUAAUGUUGAAAAAUUAGCGGAUGACCUGUGGCUGGGGGUGAAAGGCCAAUCAAACCGGGAGAUAGCUGGUUCUCCCCGAAAGCUAUUUAGGUAGCGCCUCGUGAACUCAUCUUCGGGGGUAGAGCACUGUUUCGGCUAGGGGGCCAUCCCGGCUUACCAACCCGAUGCAAACUACGAAUACCGAAGAAUGUUAUCACGGGAGACACACGGCGGGUGCUAACGUCCGUCGUGAAGAGGGAAACAACCCAGACCGCCAGCUAAGGUCCCAAAGUCAUGGUUAAGUGGGAAACGAUGUGGGAAGGCACAGACAGCCAGGAUGUUGGCUUAGAAGCAGCCAUCAUUUAAAGAAAGCGUAAUAGCUCACUGGUCGAGUCGGCCUGCGCGGAAGAUGUAACGGGGCUAAACCAUGCACCGAAGCUGCGGCAGCGACGCUUAUGCGUUGUUGGGUAGGGGAGCGUUCUGUAAGCCGUUGAAGGUGUCCUGUGAGGGGUGCUGGAGGUAUCAGAAGUGCGAAUGCUGACAUAAGUAACGAUAAAGCGGGUGAAAAGCCCGCUCGCCGGAAGACCAAGGGUUCCUGUCCAACGUUAAUCGGGGCAGGGUGAGUCGACCCCUAAGGCGAGGCCGAAAGGCGUAGUCGAUGGGAAACAGGUUAAUAUUCCUGUACUUGGUGUUACUGCGAAGGGGGGACGGAGAAGGCUAUGUCAGCCGGGCGACGGUUGUCCCGGUUUAAGCAUGUAGGCGGAGGUUCCAGGUAAAUCCGGUACCUUAUUAACGCUGAGGUGUGAUGACGAGGCACUACGGUGCUGAAGUGAUAAAUGCCCUGCUUCCAGGAAAAGCCUCUAAGCAUCAGGUAACACGAAAUCGUACCCCAAACCGACACAGGUGGUCAGGUAGAGAAUACCAAGGCGCUUGAGAGAACUCGGGUGAAGGAACUAGGCAAAAUGGUGCCGUAACUUCGGGAGAAGGCACGCUGAUAUGUAGGUGAAGUCCCUGCGGACGGAGCUGAAAUCAGUCGAAGAUACCAGCUGGCUGCAACUGUUUAUUAAAAACACAGCACUGUGCAAACACGAAAGUGGACGUAUACGGUGUGACGCCUGCCCGGUGCCGGAAGGUUAAUUGAUGGGGUUAGCGGCAACGCGAAGCUCUUGAUCGAAGCCCCGGUAAACGGCGGCCGUAACUAUAACGGUCCUAAGGUAGCGAAAUUCCUUGUCGGGUAAGUUCCGACCUGCACGAAUGGCGUAAUGAUGGCCAGGCUGUCUCCACCCGAGACUCAGUGAAAUUGAACUCGCUGUGAAGAUGCAGUGUACCCGCGGCAAGACGGAAAGACCCCGUGAACCUUUACUAUAGCUUGACACUGAACACUGGUCCUUGAUGUGUAGGAUAGGUGGGAGGCUUUGAAGCGUGGACGCCAGUCUGCGUGGAGCCAACCUUGAAAUACCACCCUUUAAUGGCUGGUGUUCUAACGUAGACCCGUAAUCCGGGUUGCGGACAGUGUCUGGUGGGUAGUUUGACUGGGGCGGUCUCCUCCCAAAGAGUAACGGAGGAGCACGAAGGUUGGCUAAUCCUGGUCGGACAUCAGGAGGUUAGUGCAAUGGCAUAAGCCAGCUUGACUGCGAGCGUGACGGCGCGAGCAGGUGCGAAAGCAGGUCAUAGUGAUCCGGUGGUUCUGAAUGGAAGGGCCAUCGCUCAACGGAUAAAAGGUACUCCGGGGAUAACAGGCUGAUACCGCCCAAGAGUUCAUAUCGACGGCGGUGUUUGGCACCUCGAUGUCGGCUCAUCACAUCCUGGGGCUGAAGUAGGUCCCAAGGGUAUGGCUGUUCGCCAUUUAAAGUGGUACGCGAGCUGGGUUUAGAACGUCGUGAGACAGUUCGGUCCCUAUCUGCCGUGGGCGCUGGAGAAUUGAGGGGGGCUGCUCCUAGUACGAGAGGACCGGAGUGGACGCAUCACUGGUGUUCGGGUUGUCAUGCCAAUGGCACUGCCCGGUAGCUAAAUGCGGAAGAGAUAAGUGCUGAAAGCAUCUAAGCACGAAACUUGCCCCGAGAUGAGUUCUCCCUGAGACUUUAAGUCUCCUGAAGGAACGUUGAAGACUACGACGUUGAUAGGUCGGGUGUGUAAGCGCAGCGAUGCGUUGAGCUAACCGAUACUAAUGAACCGUGAGGCUUAACCUU
This 2906-nucleotide ribosomal RNA is filed under the name Enterobacter hormaechei. Its description in RNAcentral is "23S ribosomal RNA". It matches the Rfam family "Bacterial large subunit ribosomal RNA". The record is from RNAcentral. Lineage: Bacteria; Pseudomonadati; Pseudomonadota; Gammaproteobacteria; Enterobacterales; Enterobacteriaceae.